GAUGAACGCUAGCGGCAGGCUUAAUACAUGCAAGUCAAGGGGGUAGCAAUACAACCGGCGCACGGGUGAGUAACGCGUACACAACAUACCAUAUACUGGGGUAUAGCUUUGGGAAACUGAAGGUAAUCCCCCAUAACAUUGCGAGAGGGCAUCUGAUUGCAAUUAAAGUUUCGGCGGUAUAUGAUUGGUGUGCGUUUGAUUAGCUAGUUGGUAGGGUAACGGCCUACCAAGGCGACGAUCAAUAGCUGGCGUGAGAGCGCGACCAGCCACACUGGAACUGAGACACGGUCCAGACUCCUACGGGAGGCAGCAGUAGGGAAUAUUGGACAAUGGAGGAAACUCUGAUCCAGCCAAUGCCGCGUGAUAGAUGAAGGCCCUCUGGGUUGUAAAUAUCUUUUAUCUGGGAAGAAACAAUCUUAUCUUAAGAUCUUGACGGUACCAGAGGAAUAAAGCACCGGCUAACUCCGUGCCAGCAGCCGCGGUAA
RNAcentral lists this ribosomal RNA (485 nucleotides) under uncultured bacterium. Its description in RNAcentral is "bacterial SSU rRNA". It matches the Rfam family "Bacterial small subunit ribosomal RNA", at positions 28 to 523 of the family's 1533-position model. The record is from RNAcentral.